AAAUGAAUAGACGGGGGCCCGCACAAGCGGCGGAGCAUGCGGAUUAAUUCGAUGCAACGCGAAGAACCUUACCAAGGCUUGACAUGAACUGGAAAUACCUGGAAACAGGUGCCCCGCUUGCGGUCGGUUUACAGGUGGUGCAUGGUUGUCGUCAGCUCGUGUCGUGAGAUGUUGGGUUAAGUCCCGCAACGAGCGCAACCCUCGUUCUAUGUUGCCAGCACGUUAUGGUGGGGACUCAUAGGAGACUGCCGGGGUCAACUCGGAGGAAGGUGAGGACGACGUCAAAUCAUCAUGCCCCUUAUGUCUUGGGCUUCACGCAUGCUACAAUGGCCGGUACAAUGGGUUGCGAUACUGUGAGGUGGAGCUAAUCCCAAAAAGCCGGUCUCAGUUCGGAUUGGGGUCUGCAACUCGACCCCAUGAAGUCGGAGUCGCUAGUAAUCGCAGAUCAGCAACGCUGCGGUGAAUACGUUCCCGGGCCUUGUACACACCGCCCGU
This 495-nucleotide ribosomal RNA is filed under the name uncultured bacterium. Its description in RNAcentral is "bacterial SSU rRNA". It matches the Rfam family "Bacterial small subunit ribosomal RNA", at positions 903 to 1397 of the family's 1533-position model. The record is from RNAcentral.